RNAcentral lists this long non-coding RNA (391 nucleotides) under Lonchura striata (white-rumped munia). Its description in RNAcentral is "domestica (Bengalese finch) lncRNA (ENSLSDG00000004473.1)". The record is from RNAcentral. Lineage: Eukaryota; Metazoa; Chordata; Aves; Passeriformes; Estrildidae.
UGCCCUUUGCGCUGUUUCCUCCCGGCACAGCCCGCACGGCGCGGCCCCGCAGCGCCGAGGCCUCGAAAGCGACUUGCCCGGGGGCUGCCGGGGUCACUGGGGCGGUCGGGAGCGACAGGAGCCUGGGCCGAGUCACUUGGGCUCAUGCUGGCUGGGGUCGUGUUUUGGGGUCUUCAUGAGCCAGAAAAUGUCUGCAGAGCCCCUGACUAUUUUUUGGAGGUCUAAAGACUCCUUUGGGCAUUAUAAACGGAAGCGGGAGGAGACUGGAAGGAGCCAGAGCAUCUGUGGGAUUUCUUUAGUCUUCAGUAAAGAUCUUCAGUGAGUUACCUACCAUGGGAGUCGGGAUAUCAGCAGCUUCCAAAGUCAUAAAGUGCAGAAAGAAGUAAAGUGA